Molecule: transfer RNA, 73 nt
Organism: Prevotella sp. CAG:520
Lineage: Bacteria; Pseudomonadati; Bacteroidota; Bacteroidia; Bacteroidales; Prevotellaceae
Rfam family: tRNA
About the family: Transfer RNA (tRNA) molecules are approximately 80 nucleotides in length. Their secondary structure includes four short double-helical elements and three loops (D, anti-codon, and T loops). Further hydrogen bonds mediate the characteristic L-shaped molecular structure. tRNAs have two regions of fundamental functional importance: the anti-codon, which is responsible for specific mRNA codon recognition, and the 3' end, to which the tRNAs corresponding amino acid is attached (by aminoacyl-tRNA synthetases). tRNAs cope with the degeneracy of the genetic code in two manners: having more than one tRNA (with a specific anti-codon) for a particular amino acid; and 'wobble' base-pairing, i.e. permitting non-standard base-pairing at the 3rd anti-codon position.
Source: Rfam
GCGGCAAUAGCUCAGUUGGUAGAGCACUCGCUUCCCAAGCCAGAGGUCACGGGUUCGAACCCCGCUUGCCGCU